CGAUGAGAAAGGGAAAGGCAGGUGGUGCUCCAGGUGGUAGCUUAUGGGAGUACUCUGGUAGUAUUAAAAGUUCAAAAAUUUCAGAACAUUGAAAUUAUCCUUUAGUUGUACAUUUCUGCUAGGAAUUUAUCCAAGGGAGAUCCCUAGGCACGUGUGCCGAGCACAAGAUGCAACAUAAUGAAGAAUCAGACCAUUCACGGAGUGACAUUUCAGCAAGUCACACAGCGGGUGGCCAGGCAACCCACAGAGUUGACACCACCCACACUUACGGACGUGGGAGGGUAUGAGCAGCAGCGAACACUCAGGAACGUUUGAUGCCAAUCAUCUCACACUGCCCACUGUGUCCACACUUAGCACGCAGAUCUCACGAGUGGUUCCUUCUCUCUCCUGCUGGAGGCAUAAGGGGAUUUUUCUCUGAUACUCACUGUGGGUCAUGGUCGAUGAUCUGGAGAGCACAAUGACCCUGGAUUAAAAUUUCCUCGGUUCCUGGGACAAGAUGGCAGAGUAGAAGGACCUUGAGCUCACCUCCUCUCGUGAGCACACCAAAAUCACAACUAACUGCUGAACAGCCAUCGAUAAGAAAAGAAUUCAACAUGUAGCAAAACCAUCUGGCUAAGAAGGUGGCUGUCACAUGCUGUCUCAACCUGGGAGACAGCUGUCCCGGGCACACAGCAGUGCCGCGGGCUGUGCGAUGGCUACAUGGCUCUCAGCCCUGGGGCGUCGUGAAGAAGUGACCCCACCGAGGUCACCUUCUCCAGCUUGCCAGAGAAUGUCAACGUUCUUGUUCUUCCUGGCGUGCACGUUCUGACCCAGGAACCGCAGCAGCUCCGGCAGGCACGUCUGGCUCCGAGAUCGAGGUAGGCCUGGAAGAGAGACGGGGUCGUGGAGCUGGGGCCGCCCACGGGGACUUAGCCCACGGCAGCCAGCGCCGCCGGAAACGGCCAAAGGAUGAGUCCCGGCCGGAGCCGGAGGUUCAGUGUGAUUGAAGCAAGAAGGGAGGCCUGUGUUCAGGGACUGGGCCUGGUGGCCAGCACGGGGAGCACUCCGUUACUUUCACUGCCACUUCAGUGCCACCUGCAAAGGGCAACCACCUGGCCUCCUUUCAGUUCUUUCGAGGGGCUGGAGGGGGAGCUCGAAUCAUCGAGAACGGGAGGGAGGGAGGGAGAUCCAUCAGGUCUUCAGAACUGCCGCCA
Molecule: long non-coding RNA, 1193 nt
Organism: Lagenorhynchus albirostris (white-beaked dolphin)
Lineage: Eukaryota; Metazoa; Chordata; Mammalia; Artiodactyla; Delphinidae
Exons: 3
Source: RefSeq, a predicted model, not a curated record